CUCUGCCUGGCUGCCCAGUCUGGAAAGUGAGGAGCAUCUCUGCCCGGCUGCCAUUCCAUCUGGGAAGUGAGGAGCGCCUCUUCCCGGCCGCCAUCACAUCUAGGAAGUGAGGAGCGUCUCUGCCCGGCCGCCCAUCAUCUGGGAUGUGGGGAGCGCCUCUGCCCCGCCGCCCUGUCUGGGAUGUGAGGAGCGCCUCUGCCCGGCCGCCACCCCGUCUGGGAGGUGAGGAGCGUCUCUGCCCGGCCGCCCCGUCUGAGAAGUGAGGAGACCCUCCGCCCGGCAGCCGCCCCGUCUGAGAAGUGAGGAGCGUCUCCGCCCGGCAGCCACCCCGUCCGGGAGGGAGGUGGGGGGGUCAGCCCCCCGCCCGGCCAGCCGCCCCAUCCGGGAGGUGAGGGGUGCCUCUGCCCGGCCGCCCCUACUGGGAAGUGAGGAGCCCCUCUGCCCGGCCACCACCCCAUCUGGGAGGUGUGCCCAACAGCUCAUUGAGAACGGGCCAGGAUGACAAUGGUGGCUUUGUGGAAUAGAAAGGGAGGAAAGGUGGGGAAAAGAUUGAGAAAUCGGAUGGUUGCCGUGUCUGUGUAGAAAGAGGUAGACAUGGGAGACUUUUCAUUUUGUUCUGUACUAAGAAAAAUUCUUCUGCCUUGGGAUCCUGUUGAUCUGUGACCUUACCCCCAACCCUGUGCUCUCUGAAACAUGUGCUGUGUCCACUCAGAGUUAAAUGGAUUAAGGGCGGUGCAAGAUGUGCUUUGUUAAACAGAUGCUUGAAGGCAGCAUGCUCAUUAAGAGUCAUCACCACUCCCUAAUCUCAAGUACCCAGGGACCCAAACGCUGCGGAAGGCCGCAGGGUCCUCUGCCUAGGAAAACCAGAGACCUUUGUUCACUUGUUUAUCUGCUGACCUUCCCUCCACUAUUGUCCU
Molecule: long non-coding RNA, 917 nt
Filed under: Homo sapiens (human)
Lineage: Eukaryota; Metazoa; Chordata; Mammalia; Primates; Hominidae
Description: HSALNT0351319
Source: RNAcentral